Molecule: non-coding RNA, 504 nt
Organism: Paramuricea clavata
Lineage: Eukaryota; Metazoa; Cnidaria; Anthozoa; Malacalcyonacea; Plexauridae
Source: the annotation of a GenBank genome assembly
AUUAAUUUCCUUUAUCUCCAGCUGUGCCAGCAUUAGUGAUUUUGAUUAAAAUUGCUGAAUAAAGUGAAUUAUUUUCAAAGACUUUUCCCAGUUCUAGGUCCUUGGAUUUACUGAAAAAGGGCCUUGAAAGUCCUGGAAAAGUCCUUGAAUUUCACUUUCACCUAAGGGCGGACACCCUGUGAAGAAGAGACAGUCAGAAAAACUAUGAAAGAUAGAGAUAGUAGAAGAUGUGGGGUUACAAACAUUGCAGUGAAGAUGAUGAAAGCAAGGCUGAGGUUGUAUGGUCACUUAUUAAGAAGAGAUGAAGGAGAGGCCAGGCCAAGAUAUUAUGAAAUAAAGAGAUCAGAAGAAGAUGUAGAGUGGUAGAGAUUUCAGAGAAAAUGAUGGAAGCAAGGUAGAGAUGGUAUGGACACGUAAGAAGAAAAGAUUGAGACAUUAUAGAGCUGGAGAUAAAGGGAACAAAGAACGAGCGAAACCGAAGACGAGAUGAAUGGACCGAUGGUG